RNAcentral lists this ribosomal RNA (279 nucleotides) under uncultured bacterium. Its description in RNAcentral is "partial 16S ribosomal RNA". It matches the Rfam family "Bacterial small subunit ribosomal RNA", at positions 506 to 784 of the family's 1533-position model. The record is from RNAcentral.
UGCCAGCAGCCGCGGUAAUACGGAGGGGGCUAGCGUUGUUCGGAAUUACUGGGCGUAAAGGGCACGUAGGCGGCCCGUUUAGUCAGAGGUGAAAUCCCCGAGCUCAACUUGGGAAUUGCCUUUGAUACUGGCGGGCUUGAGUCCGGGAGAGGAUAGUGGAAUUCCCAGUGUAGAGGUGAAAUUCGUAGAUAUUGGGAAGAACACCAGUGGCGAAGGCGGCUAUCUGGACCGGUACUGACGCUGAGGUGCGAAAGCGUGGGGAGCAAACAGGAUUAGAUA